GAAUGCUUGAGAAAUGCUUAUAAAGUUAUAUAAUCUAUUUUUUCAAGCAAUAUUCUUCAUGUCAUUCCACAUUGCAAAAACUUUGCGGAAAAGAAUAGGCAUAUGAAUGAACAAGGAAUAGACUUUGCAUUAGAUUGGUAAUCUUGCUGCUAACACAUUAAUUUACUUGCAUUACUGAUAUUUUAAGGUAGGAUUUUUGUAGAUGUUUAUAUAUUUUUAAAAACCUAUUUUUUUCUUUACCCUUUUUCUCAAUUUAUUUUUAACCUUGAAAACCUUUUCAUCCCUGAGAGAAAUACAUGGGCUAUCUUCAGCACAGAACACAAACUCUACCUUCUUUUCUCAUGUCCAGUAAUUCAAGUUUGACACACUACACCAGGGCGGACGUGCCUUGUCAUUACACAUCUUCUCAGCAGCACCAGAAGAUACAUCCAAAGUCGUGUGAGCAAGGCUAUUUAUUAAACUAAUCCAUGUUCUGAACUGUUAUUGCUACUGGAAAGGGGCCCGAUCCAGACCCCAAAAGAGGAUUCUUGGAUCUUGCACAAGAAAGAAAGGUGAGUCCAUAAAGUAAAGUGAAAGCAAGUUUAUUAAGAAA
RNAcentral lists this long non-coding RNA (592 nucleotides) under Macaca nemestrina (pig-tailed macaque). Its description in RNAcentral is "lncRNA (ENSMNEG00000046118.1)". The record is from RNAcentral. Lineage: Eukaryota; Metazoa; Chordata; Mammalia; Primates; Cercopithecidae.